CCUACGGGUGGCAGCAGUGGGGAAUAUUGCGCAAUGGGCGAAAGCCUGACGCAGCGACGCCGCGUGAGGGAUGAAGGUCUUCGGAUCGUAAACCUCUGUCAGCAGGGAAGAACGGACACUGAGGUAAUCAGCAGUGACUUGACGGUACCUGCAAAGGAAGCACCGGCUAACUCCGUGCCAGCAGCCGCGGUAAUACGGAGGGUGCGAGCGUUAAUCGGAAUUACUGGGCGUAAAGCGCUCGUAGGCGGUAUGUCAAGUCAAGGGUGAAAUCCCCGCGCUCAACGGGGGAACUGCCUUGGAAACUGGCAAACUGGAGUGUGUGAGAGGAUAGUGGAAUUCCAGGUGUAGGAGUGAAAUCCGCAGAUAUCUGGAGGAACAUCAGUGGCGAAGGCGACUAUCUGGCACAUAACUGACGCUGAGGAGCGAAAGCGUGGGUAGCAAACAGGAUUAGAUACCCUAGUAGUC
This 465-nucleotide ribosomal RNA is filed under the name uncultured bacterium. Its description in RNAcentral is "partial 16S ribosomal RNA". It matches the Rfam family "Bacterial small subunit ribosomal RNA", at positions 338 to 795 of the family's 1533-position model. The record is from RNAcentral.